UUAUUCCAACAGCAACCCCAAGCUUAGAAUCGAACACUAAUCCAAGAAUAAAACACAAUAACUCUGAACAAGGUGGGGAAGUGUUUGGUCCAUGGGAUAAUAAUGCGGUAUUUUCACAGCGUGUGUUAAUAAAGGAUAAACACAAUACAUGGGAUGGCUAGAAAGGCUCAAGGUUAAAAUAAACAGUGUGCCUCAGUGUUUGUAAUCAUGCAAUGGAUAUCAGAAAAGAAUGAACGCAAGUUCUAGAUG
Molecule: long non-coding RNA, 249 nt
Filed under: Lathyrus oleraceus (garden pea)
Lineage: Eukaryota; Viridiplantae; Streptophyta; Magnoliopsida; Fabales; Fabaceae
Description: Pisum sativum (pea) long non-coding RNA (PSAT_LNC028215)
Source: RNAcentral